UUUCCCCUAUCACUCAGGCACUGGCAGGGUCCUUUGCUACUCCUGUUGGCCGCCGCGGCUCCAAAGCGAGCUGGGCAGAUGUGCCUGAGACAGGUUUGACCAGGCAACUGAAAAGACAUCCCUAAGGGAAGACAAAGCAAAGGUAUGAAAGGAACACAUGUCCCUGACUGACUAGGAGGAACAGAGCUGCCUGCUGUCUGGAACCGCUUCCUCCCAGACUAA
RNAcentral lists this long non-coding RNA (222 nucleotides) under Pan troglodytes (chimpanzee). RNAcentral's name for it is "lincRNA". The record is from RNAcentral. Lineage: Eukaryota; Metazoa; Chordata; Mammalia; Primates; Hominidae.